This is a non-coding RNA of Misgurnus anguillicaudatus (oriental weatherfish), 1502 nucleotides long. NCBI's taxonomy places the organism in Eukaryota, Metazoa, Chordata, Actinopteri, Cypriniformes, Cobitidae. The record is from RefSeq and is a predicted model, not a curated record.
GCAUGUAUGUUAGUCGAGUAUCAUCACUGUCGUCAUCUGUAGCAGAGAUGUAUUCAACUGUAAUCUGGACACGACCGCCUUCUUUGCAAGACAGUUCAGCCCUCAAGUCUGAACCUAACUUUGGAGGUUCGUCGUUCACAGCAGCGUCGUGCCCUGCAGUUCUAGUCGUCCAUGCUGUGGCCGAGUCUUCAUGUGAACCCUGAGCUGAUCUUCUGAGCUAUCCACAUCCUGCACCAACAAGUGUUCCUCCAUCAGGAAACUGCCACCACCUUCCUCUACCCUCAGCAAGUUAGUGAACAUCUGUGUUACUGUGAUGUUGAAGGUGAGCCCAGAGAGAGCGCCGCCCUGCUGGUCGCUUACAGUAAAUACAAACUGCACGAAGAGCGGUGAUGGAGCGAACUGUUCCUGCAACUUCCACGGGCAACUCGUCCUUCACCGGAAACACGUGGAUCACCACUGUCUAUAGACGUAGGUGCACAGAGUUUAAUAUUUGAGGCUCAGAUGUCACUGGCCUUUCGAGAUCCUCAACCACCAGUUGACCAAGCAUUGGAACGUUGAUCUCGGAGCUCAGAAGACGGACGGUGCACACCACACCGGGCUGAGUUUUAAAGACCCUCAGCCUGAUGGUGUCUUCUUCUAUAAGUGGGCUGCCGUUAUGGACAUACUUCACUUCAUCAGGCCUCGGACGCCCCAAUCGAUCGGAACCGGAGUUCAUCUGCCGUGACGAACACAGAACGGCCCCUGGCUACCUGGAGGCCGGCGUUUAACUCAACCAGACUUAAACCUUGUGCGUGUAGCCAAAGGUAACUCAAGGGCUGGAGAAUCUUGGCGCGGUGGUUCACGCAGACAUGGGCAGCGUGGCUUGGGUCCAGAGCUCUGGCCGCAUCCCAGUUUAGACUCUGGUCACUGCGAAGCCCCUCGUCUUUCACAGCCAGCUGACAUCUGGCCGGUCUGGGACAGGGGAAGCCAGAGCUGGCUGCAAUCCGUGCAGCUCCACGUCUCAUCCUGGCUGCUUGUACGUGCCAGACAGGUGUGUAAUCUUGAGCUGGAAACGAUAGAGGAUUCAGAUCAGCAUACAUACAGUAGCGAGGAGGGGUUUCAGGUGGGGAAGAAUGGGUGGACCUGCCAAGACAACAAGCACAGAUUUGUAGGCCUGCCAAGCCUGGGUGACCCAGUCACUAUCACGUCCAGACGCUUGAUGCCUCGCGUAUCAGGUGGCUUGUGUAUUUGUGUACAUAUUGGAAUGGAAACGUGUCCAAGGUUGUGCCGGCCAUGUAAAAGAGUCUGACUGUUCUUUAUUCAGUUUAAAGCUGAAUGUUUUCAUGAUCGUGGUCUACUAAAUAUGUCAUAACAGACUACACAAGCUUAAAAAUGCAAUAGCCACUGUAUGACUAUAGAUUUCACUCCUAAUUAAAUGUUUUUGAUUCAUUAUUAUACAUGUAUAAAAUCAUAUGCACAAUUAACAAUUUUACUUAUGUUAGGUAUAUACAAAAUAAAUGUAU